Molecule: ribosomal RNA, 253 nt
Filed under: uncultured bacterium
Lineage: Bacteria
Description: partial 16S ribosomal RNA
Rfam family: Bacterial small subunit ribosomal RNA
Source: RNAcentral
UACGUAGGGUGCAAGCGUUGUCCGGAAUUAUUGGGCGUAAAGAGCUCGUAGGCGGUUUGUCGCGUCGAAUGUGAAAACCCGGGGCUCAACCCCGGGCCUGCAUUCGAUACGGGCAGACUAGAGUUCGGUAGGGGAGACUGGAAUUCCUGGUGUAGCAGUGAAAUGCGUAGAUAUCAGGAGGAACACCGAUGGCGAAGGCAGGUCUCUGGGCUGACACUGACGCUCAUGCACGAAAGCGUGGGGAGCAAACAGG